Molecule: long non-coding RNA, 911 nt
Organism: Meriones unguiculatus (Mongolian gerbil)
Lineage: Eukaryota; Metazoa; Chordata; Mammalia; Rodentia; Muridae
Exons: 2
Source: RefSeq, a predicted model, not a curated record
UUUGCAUGUUCCCAGGCUGUCCUUGAACUUCCUGAUUCAAGCGACCCUCCCUCCUCAGGGGGACUGGACCUCUGCUCAGCACACUUUAGAACGAUUCACCUCGGACUACCGCUUUAUUCUAAACUAACUCUAAUGCAGGCUUCCACCAGGCAGCCGUGGAACUCUGGCCUACCCGUAAAUAUCUCCGCAGAGUGACUAAACAUAUUUUCUAACCAAAAAAAAAAAAAAGAGGAGGAAGAAGAAGAAGAAGAAGAAAAAGAAAAACACCUGCAAACGGUCAAAGUACAGGAGCGUCCCGUGGCUCUAGCCUCCUGGAGCACAAGCCUGCAAGUUCAAGGCGCUGGGGAAGGGAAGGGCACCAGCAACCGCGGCUUCCCGCCCCGCCCCUUCCCCCACCCGGCAGGGGUCACGUGACGGCUGAGAAAAGUAGGGGAAAGGUUACGAGAGCCCCGCCCCCGUGCUGGCGCGUCCGGGGCGCUCGGAUCCUGUUCCACCGGCCAAGCCCACGCAGGCCUUCCGGAGCGAGCCGGCGCGCGUCGCCACUGCCAUCCCUGUGCGCCGCCCCGGUAGCCGCCGACCCGCUUUGUCCCCGCGAGACACAUGUCGCCUGCAGCAAACAGCCGGCCGGCAAACCCUGCCUCGGAGGGUUUCGUCUACGAAACCCAGGCAAACGUAAAUAAAUAAAUAAAAAGAUAAAAGAGAAAAAUUCAAGUAUGCGGUUAAGUCAGAGUUAAGAAAACGGUCAUUUACAUGACAAAAGACCUCUGGGGCUGCAACGAAGCCAGCCGGCCCUGACUGUCUAGUGCCCGGAGCAAGCCCUGUCCCUACUCCACACCUCGGGUUUAUGUACUCACUGAGCCCUGGUGGUGGUGACGAAUGCUUGCCGGCACAAAUAAAAGGCCAAAGCUGUA